GUGAGGAAUUUUCCGCAAUGGGCGAAAGCCUGACGGAGCAAUGCCGCGUGAAGGAUGAAGGCCUAUGGGUUGUAAACUUCUUUUCUUAGAGAAGAAUAUUGACGGUAUCUGAGGAAUAAGCACCGGCUAACUCCGUGCCAGCAGCCGCGGUAAUACGGAGGGUGCGAGCGUUGCCCGGAUUUAUUGGGUUUAAAGGGUGCGUAGGCUGGAAGGUCAGUCAGCGGUGAAAAGCUGUCGCUUAACGAUAGUCUUGCCGCAGAUACUUCCUUUCUUGGAUGAGGAGGAGGCCACUGGAACGGAUGGUGUAGCGGUGAAAUGCAUAGAUAUCAUCCAGAACACCGAUUGCGAAGGCAGGUGGCUGUACCUUAAUCGACGCUGAUGCACGAAAGCAUGGGGAGCAAACAGGAUUAGAUACCCGAGUAGUCC
RNAcentral lists this ribosomal RNA (426 nucleotides) under uncultured bacterium. RNAcentral describes it as "partial 16S ribosomal RNA". It matches the Rfam family "Bacterial small subunit ribosomal RNA", at positions 354 to 796 of the family's 1533-position model. The record is from RNAcentral.